Molecule: ribosomal RNA, 2061 nt
Filed under: Triticum aestivum (bread wheat)
Lineage: Eukaryota; Viridiplantae; Streptophyta; Magnoliopsida; Poales; Poaceae
Description: partial small subunit ribosomal RNA
Source: RNAcentral
AUGGCGCCCCCUUCCCUCUCCUCCUCCCACCUCCUCAUCACCGCGUCCCUCCCCAAGCCCUCCUCCAUCCGGCCGCCGCGCCUCCCGCUCUCCUCCAGGCCCGUCCCGGCGCUGCUCCUCGCGCUCGCCGCCUCGCCGGCCUUUCCCGCCCUCGCCGUCGACGCGCCCGCGCCGCUCGAUGCGGCGGCCCCGCAGCUGCAGCUCCAGGCCGAGGCGCCGACGCCCGCGGCCAACCCCUUCGCCGACACCCUGCUCACCGCGCCCAAGCCUGGGUCGGCGGCCGCCGACAUCCCCGACGGCGGCCAGUGGCGCUACAGCGAGUUCCUCGCGGCCGUCAAGAAGGGCAAGGUCGAGCGCGUGCGCUUCUCCAAGGACGGCGGCAUGCUGCAGCUCACGGCCGUCGACGGCCGCCGCGCCUCCGUCGUCGUGCCCAACGACCCCGACCUCAUCGACAUCCUCGCCACCAACGGCGUCGACAUCUCCGUCGCCGAGGGCGACGCCGCGGGGCCCGGGGGCUUCCUCGCCUUCGUCGGCAACCUGCUCUUCCCCUUCAUCGCCUUCGCGGGGCUCUUCUUCCUCUUCCGCCGCGCGCAGGGCGGGCCCGGCGGGGGCCCCGGCGGGAUGGGCGGGCCCAUGGACUUCGGCCGCUCCAAGAGCAAGUUCCAGGAGGUGCCCGAGACCGGGGUCACCUUCCAGGACGUCGCCGGCGCCGACCAGGCCAAGCUCGAGCUGCAGGAGGUCGUGGAUUUCCUCAAGAACCCCGACAAGUACACCGCGCUCGGGGCCAAGAUCCCCAAGGGCUGCCUGCUCGUCGGCCCGCCCGGGACCGGGAAGACGCUGCUCGCCCGGGCCGUCGCCGGGGAGGCCGGGGUGCCCUUCUUCUCCUGCGCCGCGUCUGAGUUCGUCGAGCUCUUCGUCGGCGUCGGCGCGUCCAGGGUGAGGGACCUCUUCGAGAAGGCCAAGGCCAAGGCGCCCUGCAUCGUCUUCAUCGAUGAGAUUGACGCCGUCGGGAGGCAGCGUGGUGCCGGAAUGGGUGGGGGGAACGAUGAGAGGGAGCAGACCAUUAACCAGCUGCUCACGGAGAUGGACGGCUUCUCCGGAAACAGCGGUGUCAUCGUGCUCGCCGCGACCAACAGGCCAGAUGUGCUCGACUCGGCGCUUCUGCGGCCAGGGCGGUUUGAUCGGCAGGUCACCGUCGACCGUCCGGAUGUCGCCGGCCGUGUCAGGAUCCUUGAGGUUCACUCCAGAGGAAAGGCAUUGGCGAAGGAUGUAGACUUUGAUAAGGUUGCCAGAAGGACACCUGGUUUCACCGGUGCUGAUCUUCAGAACUUGAUGAAUGAGGCUGCCAUCCUUGCUGCUCGUCGUGAUCUGAAGGAGAUAAGCAAGGACGAGAUCUCUGAUGCUCUGGAGAGGAUCAUUGCUGGGCCUGAGAAGAAGAAUGCAGUUGUUUCAGAACAGAAGAGGAAGCUUGUGGCUUACCAUGAGGCUGGACAUGCCCUCGUCGGUGCCCUGAUGCCUGAAUAUGACCCUGUUGCCAAGAUUUCCAUCAUUCCUCGAGGUCAAGCUGGUGGCCUCACGUUCUUUGCUCCAAGCGAAGAGAGGCUUGAGUCUGGACUGUACAGCAGGAGCUACCUAGAGAACCAAAUGGCUGUGGCACUUGGUGGCAGGGUUGCCGAGGAGGUGAUCUUUGGCCAAGACAAUGUGACAACUGGGGCAUCCAGUGACUUCAUGCAGGUCUCACGUGUCGCCAGACAAAUGGUUGAAAGAUUUGGGUUCAGUAAGAAGAUUGGGCAAGUCGCGAUCGGAUCAUCUGGUGGAAACCCUUUCUUGGGCCAGCAGAUGUCGAGCCAGAAGGACUACUCGAUGGCCACGGCGGACAUCGUAGACGCCGAGGUCAGGGAACUCGUGGAGACGGCCUACUCGCGGGCGACGCAGAUCAUCAACACCCACAUCGACAUCCUCCACAGGCUCGCCAACCUCCUGAUCGAGAAGGAGACCGUGGACGGGGAGGAGUUCAUGAGCCUCUUCAUCGACGGGCAGGCAGAGCUGUUCGUCGCAUAA